UACGUAGGGGGCAAGCGUUAUCCGGAUUUACUGGGUGUAAAGGGAGCGUAGACGGUAUGGCAAGCCCGAUGUGAAAGCCCGCAGCUCAACUGCGGGACUGCAUUAGGAACUGUCAAACUAGAGUGUCGGAGAGGCAAGUGGAAUUCCUAGUGUAGCGGUGAAAUGCGUAGAUAUUAGGAGGAACACCAGUGGCGAAGGCGGCUUGCUGGACGAUGACUGACGUUGAGGCUCGAAAGCGUGGGGAG
Molecule: ribosomal RNA, 245 nt
Filed under: uncultured Dorea sp.
Lineage: Bacteria; Bacillati; Bacillota; Clostridia; Lachnospirales; Lachnospiraceae
Description: partial 16S ribosomal RNA
Rfam family: Bacterial small subunit ribosomal RNA
Source: RNAcentral